AUUGAACGCUGGCGGCAGGCCUAACACAUGCAAGUCGAACGGUAACAGAAAGCAGCUUGCUGCUUUGCUGACGAGUGGCGGACGGGUGAGUAAUGUCUGGGAAACUGCCUGAUGGAGGGGGAUAACUACUGGAAACGGUAGCUAAUACCGCAUAACGUCGCAAGACCAAAGAGGGGGACCUUCGGGCCUCUUGCCAUCGGAUGUGCCCAGAUGGGAUUAGCUAGUAGGUGGGGUAAAGGCUCACCUAGGCGACGAUCCCUAGCUGGUCUGAGAGGAUGACCAGCCACACUGGAACUGAGAAACGGUCCAGACUCCUAAGGGAGGCAGCAGUGGGGAAUAUUGCACAAAGGGCGCAAGCCUGAUGCAGCCAUGCCGCGUGUAUGAAGAAGGCCUUCGGGUUGUAAAGUACUUUCAGCGGGGAGGAAGGGAGUAAAGUUAAUACCUUUGCUCAUUGACGUUACCCGCAGAAGAAGCACCGGCUAACUCCGUG
RNAcentral lists this ribosomal RNA (490 nucleotides) under uncultured bacterium. Its description in RNAcentral is "partial 16S ribosomal RNA". It matches the Rfam family "Bacterial small subunit ribosomal RNA", at positions 30 to 507 of the family's 1533-position model. The record is from RNAcentral.